Molecule: long non-coding RNA, 1115 nt
Filed under: Sarcophilus harrisii (Tasmanian devil)
Lineage: Eukaryota; Metazoa; Chordata; Mammalia; Dasyuromorphia; Dasyuridae
Description: lncRNA (ENSSHAG00000027306.1)
Source: RNAcentral
CCUUCUCGGGGACCAUCUGCAAAAGGAAGGGGCCCAAAACUGGCUGGGCCUGUCCCCCAACUCGUUCCCCGGGCGGGCUGCUCCGAGCCCCUGCCCUGCCUGCACACAAGUCGCCCCCGGGGCCACAGGCAUUCCUUGGGGGGCCCCGAACCCUGGCCUCGCUCCUCCCACCCCCCGAGGAGCUCCCCGGGCGAGGCUGACCCCGACCAGUCCUUGCUCCGAGGAUCGGUUACAGGGGUCCCAGGGUGAUGGACCCCCGGGGUCAGGGGGCCCGAACCCCACCCCCGCCUCUGUGACCCCGACAGCAACAGCUGCUGCUAUUACUCAGUCAGCACUUAAGCACGUCCGGUUCACCCAGAACUUAGGGGCUGACACGGCCACGACAACCGGCUGCGAGACGGGCGUGUUACCCCCAUUUUACAGAAGAGGAAACGGAGACUCACACUUGCCCAGGCACAGAGCCAGCAGGGGUCGAGGCAGGAUUCUAACUUGGGUCUUCCCGGGUCCAAAUGCAGGGGACUCUAGCUCACUCCCCACCCCAGACUGACCCCCCCGCCCCGGUCUAUGUGGUCAAUAGCACGUGGGCCCCUCGAAGGCAAGGACGGCCCUGGCCCAGAUUUCACCGAAGGUUCCUGGCCCCCAGACUCCCCCGGGCCGCCCCCGCCGCGCCCUCACCUUGGCCAUCCGCUCCUUCUUGUCCCACCACUCGUCGAAGGCCCGGAAGGCCACCACCUCCACCAUCUUGCGGUUCAGGUCGCGCUUCAUGAUGGCCUUGAGCUCCUUGACGAUCACCAGCAGGACGCCGUCCACCGUGGCCUUGUGGGGGUCCUCCUUCUUGGGCAUGUAGCCCGGCGGGGGCACCGAGGGGUCGAACUUGGGCAGCGGCGGCCACUGCUGGCCCCGGCCCACGGCGGCGCCCACCGAGAAGGGCCGGUAGGGGGGCAGGUUCACGAACUGCAUGCCGCUGCCCAUGAAGGGCGGGUACUGGCCCGCCCUGGCCCGACCGGGCUGAGCACCGCCGCAUCUGGAAGGACAUGGGCAUCCCGCCCACGGCCCCCAGCCGUUUACUGGUCCACCGCACUGGGGAACAUGCCCGGGGGGAGGGGGGCAGCGGG